AUGAUUAGUAAGGGCUGAUCCAGCGUAGUAACGGUGGAGCUUACAUAACAGGGCACACCUGCGCUCGCAUUAUUCACUGAGUCACGCCUUUCUUACGCCACGGAAGCUGGUACCAGCAUCUGUGGCCUCAUCCAGGUGCGGCCACCAGCGUUCCCUGCGAGAGACAUGGAAAUAUCACUGCGUUGGAAAGCGCCGGGAGCUGUCUGAAGCUGGAAGAAAGCCAUCUACUCUCUCCAUGAUGCUCUCCUCUGCGCUUCCCCCCUCUCCGCCACUGACCCCGGAUCAGUUUGACAGAGCUCUGUGCUCAUGAUUACAGGAUGAUGCUGUUGGCCGAAGCGAACUGCUCAGGAUACGGAGGAGCCAUGGAGGAUGUGUAAAGGAGACUCUGGCUUUCUGCAUGAAUAUUUCAGCCUGUCACUCUGCUUAUCUUUAGAUUCCACAGAUGAGGGCUGGAGGAGAAGAGAUGAGGGGUGGUUGCUAGGCAACGAGCAUCCUCUUGCUCUUCCUACACAACUGUGAACACCGCUGAUCGCAGAUUCCCUCUUCAGCAGGGACUCACGCACACACACACACACACACACACACUUUAGUAGAGAUUCUUGGCCACUAACACACCCUCAACCAUUCCGGCACAAGCGUUGCCACGGUGCUUGAUCACAUGUGAGGCAACAGCUUUGUGUAGAAAAAGAAGCCAAUCACACAGGCGUGCGCUCACACAUGCACACAAACACAAUGAAGGUCUCAGCGACCAUGUCCUUGGGAUGCCACCCCCCACCCCCUCGUAACCACACAUGGCCAUACCUCUCCCCACACCUCCUACUGCACAGAUACGAACGUGGCAACCAGGAAGCAGGUUAGUCAGUGUGUGGUUACCGGAUUUCUUCUGUCUAAAGUAGUAGUUGAAGAUAACGUGUAAUUUUCCAUGACUGCCGCGGUGAUUGAGUGUGUACCAUGAUGCAUUUCCAGCUGCUAACAUGGUGUGGGGAUGGCCUAUAUAUGUACAACACUGCCCCCCCGAAACUGCCACCACAUGAACUGUGGAGUAGAGAGACAGCAAUGUGUGUAGAAUGUGUCUGAAGGCAGGAGGGGCCCCGGCACCACCCCAUGAUUUCUAGCACCCAGUAGAGUGUCCAUCAGAGGCAGAGUGAAGUACAGGUAGACAGUGAGCCACAGACAGAUACAAACACACAGACAGAGAUAGUGAGGCACAGAUGGAUACAAUCAGAAUCAGGUAGAGACAGUGAGGCACAGACGGAUACAAUCAUACACAGACAGAGACAGUGAGGAACAGACGGGUACAAUCACACAAAGACAGAGACAGUGAGCCACAGAAAGAUACAAUCAUAUACAGACAGAGACAGUGAGGCACAGAUGGAUACAAUCAUACACAGACAGAGACUGUGAAGUACAGAUGGGUACAAUCAUACAGAGACAGAGACAAUGAGGCACAGAAAGAUACAAUCAUAUACAGACAGAGACAUUGAGGCACAGAUGGAUACAAUCAUACACAGACAGAGACUGUGAAGUACAGAUGGGUACAAUCAUACAGAGACAGAGACAAUGAGGCACAGAAAGAUACAAUCAUACACAGACACUGAGCCACAGACAGAUACAAACACACAGAUAGAGAUAGUGAGGCACAGAUGGAUACAAUCACAAUCAGGUAGAGACAGUGAGGCACAGACGGAUACAAUCAUACACAGACAGAGACUGUGAAGUACAGAUGGGUACAAUCAUACAGAGACAGAGACAAUGAGGCACAGAAAGAUACAAUCAUAUACAGACAGAGACAUUGAGGCACAGACGGAUACAAUCAUACACAGACAGUGAGCCACAGACAGAUACAAACACACAGACAGAGAUAGUGAGGCACAGAUGGAUACAAUCAGAAUCAGGUAGAGACUAUGGGGCACAGACGGAUACAAUCAUACAGAGGCAGUGAGGCACUGACAGAUACAAUCAUACACAGACAGAGAUUGUGAGGUAUAGACGGGUACAAUCAUACAGAGACAGUGAGGAACAGACGGAUACAAUCAUACAGAGACAGUGAGCCACAGACGGAUACAAUCAUACACAGA
This is a long non-coding RNA of Brienomyrus brachyistius, 2078 nucleotides long. RefSeq lists it as uncharacterized. The record is from RefSeq and is a predicted model, not a curated record. The transcript has 3 exons. NCBI's taxonomy places the organism in Eukaryota, Metazoa, Chordata, Actinopteri, Osteoglossiformes, Mormyridae.